GCGAUUUUGAUGCCAAACCAAUUGUAAUGCUUUUGGGUCAAUAUUCCACAGGAAAAACAACAUUUAUAAAACACUUGCUCUGGAUGUGACUACCCCGGAGCUCACAUUGGUCCAGAGCCAACAACAGAUCGGUUUGUGGUUGCAAUGAGUGGACCAGAUGAACGAACCAUACCUGGAAAUACCAUGGCUGUUCAAGCUGACAUGUCAUUUAACGGGCUAACAAGUUUUGGAGGUGCUUUGCUCUCGAAGUUUGAGUGUUCACAAAUGCCGCAUCCCGUGAGUAAUUAAGCAUUAUUCCAUUGUCUCUACUUGUUUGUGUUGUAGGUGUUGGACCAAAUUACUCUUGUAGACACUCCUGGAGUUCUUUCAGGAGAGAAACAAAGCAUGCAAAGGAGCUAUGACAUCACUGGUGUCAUCUCAUGGUUUGCAUCUAAAUGUGAUAUGAUUCUCCUUCUCUUUGAUCCCCACAAGCUUGACAUCAGUGAUGAAUUCAAACGGGUGAUAACAUCUAUGCGUGGUAACGAAGACAAGAUCCUUGUUGUCUUGAACAAAGCUGACCAAGUUGAUACACAACAACUAAUGAGAGUGUAUGGAGCAUUGAUGUGGUCGCUUGGUAAAGUCUUGAAUACACCAGAGGUCGUACGUGUCUAUAUUGGGUAUGCCUUUGA
This is a non-coding RNA of Camelina sativa (false flax), 668 nucleotides long. The record is from RefSeq and is a predicted model, not a curated record. NCBI's taxonomy places the organism in Eukaryota, Viridiplantae, Streptophyta, Magnoliopsida, Brassicales, Brassicaceae.